GACGAACGCUGGCGGCGUGCUUAACACAUGCAAGUCGAACGGAAAGGCCCUGCGUUUGUGGGUUGCUCGAUUGGCGAAGGGGUGAGUAACACGUGAGUAACAUGCACUUGACUUUGGGGUAACAUCAGGAAACUGGGGCUCAUACCGGAUAGGAGCUCCUGCUGCGUGGUGGGGGAUGGAAAGAGUCGGCGGUUGGGGAUGGAUUCGCGGCUUAUCAGCUGGUUGGUGGGGUAGUGGCUUACCAAGGCUUUGACGGGUAGCCGGCCUGAGAGGGUGACCGGCCACAUUGGGACUGAGAGACGGCCCAGACUCCUACGGGCGGCAGCAGUGGGGAAUAUUGCACAAUGGGCGGAAGCCUGAUGCAGCAACGCCGCGUGCGGGAUGACGGCCUUCGGGUUGUAAACCGAUUUCGCCUGUGACGAAGCGUGAGUGACGGUAACGGGUAAAGAAGCACCGGCUAACUACGUG
Molecule: ribosomal RNA, 468 nt
Filed under: uncultured bacterium
Lineage: Bacteria
Description: partial 16S ribosomal RNA
Rfam family: Bacterial small subunit ribosomal RNA
Source: RNAcentral